Molecule: long non-coding RNA, 654 nt
Organism: Rana temporaria (common frog)
Lineage: Eukaryota; Metazoa; Chordata; Amphibia; Anura; Ranidae
Exons: 2
Source: RefSeq, a predicted model, not a curated record
ACAUUUAUAGAGGAGGACACUCCUACAGAGAUCAGCACAGAAAUGGAUCCCAAUGCUUCUUAUCCUGGACCAAAACAGAAACGCAGGUCAUACAAAGCCGGUUUCAAACUUAUGGUUGUGUCAAGAGCGGAAGAAACCAAUAACAGUGUCGCAAGUAGGGAAUUUUGCGUUGACGAAAAACAAGUGAGGGAGUGGCGGAAAAUGAAAGCGGACUUGGAAAAGAUUCCGGAGGCGAAAAAAGCUCGACGGGGUUUAACGACGUCGUAUGUCGCUCUAGAGACUGAGUUGCAUAAAUGGAUUAUGGAGUGUCUUCGAAACGGUUACGCCGUGACGCGCAUGGGUAUUCGCUAUCGGGCCCUUCAAAUGGCUAAAGAUGACAAAUUAAAAGCACCAGGCAUCGAAAAAUUCGGGGCGUCGGCGGGAUGGUGUACCCGCUUUAUGAAUAGGUUUGCCUUAUGUUUGCCGUAGAACAAAGAUCGCGCAGAAGUUACCUUGACGAAAAAGUGAUGUCAUUCAUUCAGAAAACAAAGAAGGAUCCAUAAGUAUGACCUGGGAGAUAUUGCGAAUUUGGAUGAAACGCCUACGACCUUUGAUCUUCCAAGCAACCGAACUGUGGCAGGUUCGGGAGACAAAACUAUUUUACUUGGAACCACA